Molecule: long non-coding RNA, 734 nt
Filed under: Lactuca sativa (garden lettuce)
Lineage: Eukaryota; Viridiplantae; Streptophyta; Magnoliopsida; Asterales; Asteraceae
Description: long non-coding RNA (LSAT_LNC000833)
Source: RNAcentral
UGGUUUUUCGUGUACGUAAACUGUCUUAUCAAAAAAAAUACUUUCAAUCAUUUUAUAAACUGACAUCAAGUCACAAAUUCUUUAUUAGACUUUUCAACGGUUUUACAAAACUUCCUUAUGCUUUUAUAUUAUAAAUUGCAUGUCUCUAUAUGUAUAGUUAUAUAAGAAAUGUUUAAAAGACUUAGAAAGGCUAUCCACCCUAUUUCCUUUUCGCGCCUUGAGAUGUGGUCUGGUGGGAUAUUGGGUAUUCGUCCAAAAGUCGUUUAAAUAUUAGUUAUAUAUCAUGUAUACAUAUAUGGUCAUAAAUGUUCCAUCAGUUAAUUUAGUUCCGAUACUCUUGGGUAGCAAUGGUGUAUAAACCUACUUGGACGCUCAUCAAUUACAUUCUAGUAAACUAUUAUAGGAAUAGUUUAGAGUAAACAAAACAUUUUCCCUACUACAAGAAAUUACACCGGAGUCAGUUCAUUCAUGAGUCUAGACUACAUGUUAUAUGAAAGAAUACUCUUACAUGAAUACUUAUACAUGAAUACUUUUACAUAGACAUUAUAUGGCAAAUUACUACUACAUGUUAUAUGAAAGAAUACUCUUACAUGAAUACUUAUACAUGAAUACUUUUACAUAGACAUUAUAUGGCAAAUUACUACUACAUGUUAUAUGAAAGAAUACUCUUACAUGAAUACUUAUACAUGAAUACUUUUACAUAGACAUUAUAUGGCAGAUUACUACUACAUGUU